GCGGUUUGCCGCCGCCCGCCGCGAGCUCAGAGCCGCCUGCCGCGUUCGCUGUGGCGCUGUCCGCGGCCGCGCUGUGCAGCGGUCGGGAUACCGUAGUUGGCCGCGGCUUCUCUGCCGUGAAGGGCGUUGCCCCCUAUCCGUCGGGUAGCCCUGCCGCUGAGGAGCUGGCGGGGCCCCGGGUCAGUGUGGCGAAAGAUAGGCGAAGAGGGAAGUCCCGCCUCUGCUGCUGCUGCUGAGGGGAGAAACGCUGUGGGAGGCCGGCUCGGAGCCGGUGCCGUUCCUGCACUGCUCCGUGGCUCUGCUGGUCGCGCCUCCGUGCCGGCACUCGGCGUGCCCGGUCAGCUGUGUGGAAAACAGACAUCAGCCCCCGCCCGUCACGUUGGCCGUGCUUCUUAAACCGCGCCAGGACUUGAGUGGGAGCAUAGACACACUCUUGUUGUGGCUUCCCGGAGAACGCUAAGGGAUCGGCUCGGAAAUGCUGGUGUGGAGAUAGGCGGGAAAACUGGAAGCUGUUCAGAGACACGCACGCUUAGCGUCGAAAGCUGGCCGUGCUGCCUGAGAGUGCGGAAAGCCGCGUGGCUUACGCUGUGAGAGGAGCUGCCAGCGCACAAAGCUGGCGCUGAGACCCGCCGGCUCCGUCAGCAUUGCAAGGGCUGCAGGUAGCUCCGCUGUGUAGAAGGAUUUCUGAACUUAAAGGGAAGAUAUUUAGAUCGCUCGGUUGAACUCUAAUGCCUAUCUCUCUAAAACAAGCCACACAGCAUCAGUUCACUGGGAACAGAACUGUUCUGAAUAAUAUGCUUUGGUCCAGCAUGAAGGAAGACAAUUUUAAUGAGUUAAGAGGCUCUUAAAGCAGACCACAGGAAUUUCAAGAGUGAAGCUGAAUGAAACCAUGGAAAUUAAUCAGGUUAGUCAGCCGCUGAUCGGUUACAGGCAUCAGCAUAUGUUAAAUAUGUGGAGCAUAGUACAUGACCUUUCUUUUAUUAAUCUAUGUUGUAGAAUGCAACACCAUAAGUUAGUUGCUAAUUGCUAAUUCAGAGAAAUGUAGCUGAUCAAAAUCUAAAAGCCACCAACACUAUAUUUAUUCGCAAGAAAUCCACAGUAGAAACCUUAUCUCUCUUACACUGAGUAGGUUUGAAAGAAUUUCUCAGAUUUUACAAUUAUAUACAACUUAUAGGCCUCAGCUGCAGGCAAACAUGCUAUGAAGAAGUGAAAUGACUUUGGAAAUUCUGUGACUAAAAUGUUCACGUGGCAAAAGAAAGUCAUGAUGUUACUGCACAUAUUCCACUUCUGUGUGGACUACCUGGAAAUUCUUCCUUCUCCUCCAAAGCUGUGUUUACUUGAGGCAGAUCUCAUUUAAUAAAGCACUGUAAAACUAUAUUCUUCUCUUAUUCACACUAAUGCGAGACGAAAUAUAUACAUGAUGGAUUUUUUUUUUUUUAAUGUAUUUAUGUAUGUUGUCCUGAUUAUGCAAAACCUUACGCAGUUGGUUAAUAUCAUUCAUAGCCCUAGUGAUCUUCAUAGAAUCAUAGAAUAACCUGGGUUGAAAAGGACUACAGUGAUCAUUGAGUUUCAACCCCGCU
This is a non-coding RNA of Phasianus colchicus (ring-necked pheasant), 1580 nucleotides long. The record is from RefSeq and is a predicted model, not a curated record. NCBI's taxonomy places the organism in Eukaryota, Metazoa, Chordata, Aves, Galliformes, Phasianidae.